GACGAACGCUGGCGGCGUGCCUAACACAUGCAAGUCGAACGGAGUCGGCCCCGCAAGGGACUGACUUAGUGGCGAACGGGUGAGUAACGCGUGAGCAACCUGCCUUUCAGUGGGGGACAACAGUUGGAAACGACUGCUAAUACCGCAUAAUGCAUUUUGACCGCAUGAUCGAGAUGCCAAAGAUUUAUUGCUGAAAGAUGGGCUCGCGUCUGAUUAGAUAGUUGGUGGGGUAACGGCCCACCAAGUCGACGAUCAGUAGCCGGACUGAGAGGUUGAACGGCCACAUUGGGACUGAGAUACGGCCCAGACUCCUACGGGAGGCAGCAGUGGGGAAUAUUGGGCAAGGGGGGAAACCCUGACCCAGCAACGCCGCGUGAAGGAAGAAGGCUUUCGGGUUGUAAACUUCUUUUACCAGGGACGAAGAAAGUGACGGUACCUGGAGAAAAAGCCACGGCUAACUACGUGCCAGCCGCCGCCGUAA
Molecule: ribosomal RNA, 481 nt
Filed under: uncultured bacterium
Lineage: Bacteria
Description: partial 16S ribosomal RNA
Rfam family: Bacterial small subunit ribosomal RNA
Source: RNAcentral